Molecule: non-coding RNA, 23 nt
Filed under: Cricetulus griseus (Chinese hamster)
Lineage: Eukaryota; Metazoa; Chordata; Mammalia; Rodentia; Cricetidae
Source: RNAcentral
GUAUAGGGAUUAAGAACUUGACU